RNAcentral lists this long non-coding RNA (1682 nucleotides) under Theobroma cacao (cacao). RNAcentral's name for it is "long non-coding RNA (TCAC_LNC000943)". The record is from RNAcentral. Lineage: Eukaryota; Viridiplantae; Streptophyta; Magnoliopsida; Malvales; Malvaceae.
UCAUUAUAUAAUUCAUAACAUUCCAAAACUCAUUUCAAUUCAUAUAAAACAAUUACAUUUCAUCAAAAUAAUCAACAAGGCUUAUGAUUUUCUUAAAAACUUGGCUUGUGCCAAAACUCAUACUCGGGGACACCUUGGCUCGAGCAUCCAACCAAGUCCGCCAAGGAUGUUAAAAUGACAUAUACCCAUAAAACAUGUUUUUACUUUUAAAAUAUAGCCAUUCCUUGACGUUGGUUGAGUUUCAUCCUCACGUGAUGGUUCGGCGUGAAGUGAACUCUAAACUUACCUUAGGAGAUACCCUCCGCACCUCUCAUACUAAGGUAAAAUAUAACGGGGUUUACCGUGCCCCUCUAAUAGGCUGGUCCACGAAAACCCGCCCACUGCAGUAAGCUAAUCAAAUAACCCACUAAAUCAAUAAAAAUUUUGACAGCAUGACAUGGCUAAUAUAAUAUUACCCAGCCUGUCAAGGUAAAACAAAACAGUUUAUAUAAUCCACAAAUCACAAAUCCAGCCAUUCAUGCCAUCACAUUGUCAUAAGCCAUUAAUUCAAACCAUAUAUAUAUAUAUAGAUAACAUAAGUAUUUAGUCUCCACUUACUCAAUUUCCAAAAUCUUCAUUGAAUUGCAAAACAAUUUAUAAAUCUCAUUCAUUUAAUUAUCACUUAACUUAUAAAACAUAAAAAUCUACAAUUUAAGUUCAUUAUUCUUUAAAAUCAUAACAACGAGUAUAAACUACUUUAGAUAGUUAAGAUGAACAUUUGAUUACUCACAAUAACGAGAGUUUGGAGUACUCCUACCCUUGGUCCUCGGGUACGAUAUCUUUACCCUUAUCAGAGGGCUCACCACCUAUACAUAAUGCACGACACGUAAUUCAAUAAAUUUGUGCCAAACUGUUAUAAAACUAUUUCAGGCUCUAUAUGAAUGCAUGAAAUUGGAUGAGAAUUGUUCGAAUAAUCACUUAAAGACGGUGUUCUACAUGGGUUCAAUUAUGAUCGGACUGAAUUUGUAUUUGACCUAACUCGAACUAUACACUAUUGAAUUAACCAAAACAUCCAAUUCAACUUCAAAUAUAUUCAUUACACUUCAAAUAUUCCAAAUACACCAAAGUACCUCAAUGAGCUUGAUUGUGACUUAAUUCAUCAUAACCGAAAUUCAUUCCGAUUCCGAACUAACAUGCUAAUCAGUAAUAACACAAUCCAAUAAAUCCAUCUACAUCAUUAGAAAUCAAAUCCAUCAUCAAUAUGUCAUCUAUAAAAUUUGGCCAAAGAUGGUUGUUGAAGGGCAUGUGAUUUUCUUACUUGUUUUUCAUUCCAAACAUCAUUAAACAACUAAAAACACUAAGAUAUCAUGAAAUCUAGNGCCAAAGAGGGUUGUUGAAGGGCAUGUGAUUUUCUUGCUUGUUUUUCAUGCCAAACAUCAUCAAACAACUAAAAACACUAAGAUAUCAUGAAAUCUAGCAAAAUCCACCAUCAAAACCUCUCUCCCUAUGUUCAGCCAGCAAGUAUUCCCUCAUGAAAACUUGUGUUUCAUCCAUAGAAAAUGAAAAAGAAAGCAUGGGAAAGGUAGAUCUUAAGCUAAAAUUGAAAAAUCUUACCUUUGAUUGCUUUGUUCUUUGAAAUUCAAAAAUUUCUCUUGAAUUUUCCUCUCUAGGGUUUGUUUCUAUUCUUUUCUCUUUGUUCUUUG